UCGAUUUCUUUUCCCUACAGUACUCCGUCUGGAAUAGGUUGAUUCGCCCUUGUUUACUUCGGAGGAGUAACUCCAAUGAUUUUAAACCUCAAACUGUGCC
Molecule: long non-coding RNA, 100 nt
Organism: Alosa sapidissima (American shad)
Lineage: Eukaryota; Metazoa; Chordata; Actinopteri; Clupeiformes; Clupeidae
Exons: 3
Source: RefSeq, a predicted model, not a curated record